This 228-nucleotide long non-coding RNA is filed under the name Brachypodium distachyon (stiff brome). RNAcentral's name for it is "long non-coding RNA (BDIS_LNC005194)". The record is from RNAcentral. Lineage: Eukaryota; Viridiplantae; Streptophyta; Magnoliopsida; Poales; Poaceae.
GUCCUAGUUUGCCCCACCGAAAAUUUGAUCAUUGUUUUGCUUGUCCAUGAAUUGGCCAACUUUUGUUGAAAACAUGAACUCAAGUUGGCUAAAGAACAUUGACAUGUCAAAUAAUUGGCAACCAUCCAAACAAAAACCAACUUUUGGUCAAUGAUAAAAAAAUUGGAUUGGUACAUGUGUUGGCUACAAUAGAAACAUACUCAUAUAUAGGCUUGUCGUGCGGGCGUG